AUGGGCGGCGGCGCAGCCGGAUCUGGGCUCAGGCGUGAGCUUGGUCUCCAGGUCAUGGUCGGCGCAAUGGCGAGUGCGACACGUCGGCAUCUUUGUCUGGUCCUUGACAACCCGGGCAACUCCAGGGGAAACCAUAGAUCUCCAUGGGAUCGAGCGAUGGCGGUGCUCUUGUGCCGUAGUCCCUCUUCAGGGCAUCGUUUUGGAGUUUGCUACGGUCGAAGGAACCAGCGAGGCCGGCGCCGUACGCCCGGUGGCGCAACUGCCGUUGAAAAUCGCGCCGACUACGGUCAUGGCGGACGAUGGCGGCGUCUUUGA
RNAcentral lists this ribosomal RNA (315 nucleotides) under Triticum aestivum (bread wheat). Its description in RNAcentral is "partial small subunit ribosomal RNA". Lineage: Eukaryota; Viridiplantae; Streptophyta; Magnoliopsida; Poales; Poaceae. The record is from RNAcentral.